CCAGAGCUACUGUGUCAGCAGAAGUUCUAAAGAGCUCAUGGUAAAGCUCAUGCUUUCACCUCUCGGAUUCAAGCUGAUUAAAGGGUUUGAGGAAAAGUGCCAUGGGCAAUAAAGAACAAUGAAGAUCAUUUCGAUGAGCUGCAGCACUACUGGUCUUCUCAUGAAAUUUUCAAAAUUUGGGAUGAGUGGCAAAUUUUUCAGCGAAUCCAAGGGAACCAGAAUAGGGAUGGUCAGCUUAGCAAGAGAAACCAAGACACCAGGAAAUACGGAGCAUCACACUGGGAAAAACUCAAGUGAAGGAGAUGAGUAUCAAGCCCAGGCAGAACAGAGGAGCUGCAAUGCAGGAGCCAGUCCUCCCUGUACAACCUUUAAGUGAGGAAGAGAUGAUUUCAGAGCUAACUAAGAGUUAACUGGCUACGUUUCAACUGUCACCAUUGUCUUAAAUCUACAUGGAGAGUGGAGACACCCAGAGAGGUGUAAGUACAGCAGGACGCUCGGAAAAAAAACAUUUCUCCUCCAGCACUCAGCGGAACUAUUUAUUAACCUGAGGGCAGUCCCUGGCCCACUGCAAGCAUGGCAGGAUCCGUGUAAGGGGGCAGAUACAGAGGAAGAUACGGGCUCACAAUCUAGCAAAGAUGUCCACAGAAGGAUGUGCUUCCCUCUAAGGAGCUAUCAGGUCCCAGUGACACUGCUGCCUUCUAACAUGGAUGUUCUUCAGCCUGCACCAUUUAUCCAUAGGACGCAGCUUUUUUUAUACCAGCUUCCCAAUACAGGGCUGAGGUUCCUAUGGAAAUACUGUCUGUCAGUGUUCCUACCUGUGCCUGUGGUGGGUGCUGAGUCUCAGGUGAGCUACAGACCACUGAUUAAAUGCACUCCCAUACCAGUGGUGAGCAAUCACAGCACACCAGUUUGGACAACCAUGUGUUCUCACUGAGCCCUGUUGCACUGUGCAGUAAUUAAAAAGUCAUGAGUCCUAUUUAAAUAUAGGGCAUUCUGUCCUAAACCUUUGAGUGCCCGUGGGUGUGAGUAAGCUCAUUCUCCAAGGAUGUUCUCUGGUCUGUGUACAUACACCAGCUUCAUCAAAAGGAUGUAGGAAAUGCCAGAUCCAGAUAUACAGAUUCCACUUUUUUUAAAAAUACAUCAUUGAUCAGUCCAGGGAUGGCAAAAAUUAAUAGUAAUGAGCUAAUUACUAUACCAGCUGCUUACAAAAGGGGUCCUGUAGGCAGACUCCUUCUGCCCAUUUGCCUGCUGGUUAAACCACCACUCUAGAAAUUAUAAAACAAAACUUUUUUCUCUUUAUAAACAUCUAUCAGCGUCACCUUAAUAUGGCCCACAGCACCAACACUGCCUAGCUUUUAAGUUCUCAGAAUGCAGCCAGAAUCUCCCCUAGCACAUUAUAACACAUUUUACUGGUUUGAGCAGGGUAGAACACAGCCUUCUCCUCAAAUGAAUGGCUGGUGAGCUCCAGCAGCCCCUGCACGAGGCCGGGCUCACCAUCUGUGUUCCUCCCAACAUCCAUAGCCCCUUCACAAGUGCCAGCCCUUUGAAAAGCCAGCCUGUUUUUCUGAUUGAUUCACUUUUUAAUGAACUGGGAAUGCCUGUGAACUUAAACCCUGACACCUCCACCUCCCUGCCUUCCUAGCCGUCCCUGCAGCAAUGUACUGAUUAUAUUUCAAGUUAUUAUGGGAUUAAUACAGCUGCCCCCGGUGCCUCUUUCCCCUGAACUCCAUCAAUAAAAGUUGUGUCCUAAUCUUA
This is a long non-coding RNA of Haemorhous mexicanus (house finch), 1755 nucleotides long. RefSeq lists it as uncharacterized. The record is from RefSeq and is a predicted model, not a curated record. The transcript has 5 exons. NCBI's taxonomy places the organism in Eukaryota, Metazoa, Chordata, Aves, Passeriformes, Fringillidae.